Molecule: RNA transcript, 779 nt
Organism: Pyrus x bretschneideri (Chinese white pear)
Lineage: Eukaryota; Viridiplantae; Streptophyta; Magnoliopsida; Rosales; Rosaceae
Exons: 3
Source: RefSeq, a predicted model, not a curated record
UGUCCGAUCCCUAUCCUGAUUUAAGGCAUCCACUUCUUCUUCUUCCUCCUCCUCAACUCAAUCAGCAAACCUAAGGUUGCCAUUGCUGAGCAGGCGCUAGGUUCUCGUCUCUCCCUUUAGCUACUUUUCUGCUCCCAAGUAAAGCUAGUUGUAGUGAUUCCAACAGUAUGAAUGUAAAUUCAGCAACCCCUUCUGGUGUCACUUCUUCUGCUCUCACAAGAUUCAACCCGAUGAGCGCUGCUGAGAGAGACGCAAGGGAUGCGAUUUCUCAUAGAACAUCGGAUGCUUUGGAGUUGUUGAAAGGGAGGGAACUGCAGGCUCAGCGUGUGUGUAGGGACGGCCAUACUUUCAUAUGGUCUGAGCUGGAUACGAGAAAACGCAGCUCCUGCCAUGGCCACGGUGCUCUCGUUCCUUUCGCCACUACCACGGGAAUCGCUUUUUCUUUCUUUUCCUCUGGCUACAAAGAUGUUUCAGUUCACCAGGUUGUCUCUUGCCUGCCCAUGGAUUAAGCAGCAAUUCGAAAGGUUACAGAGUGCAGACAUUCAUAAGUGGAAUUGUACAACGAAAACUAAAAGGGUAUGUGAAAACUAGAAAGUCUGCUUUGCUUUAUUGGAUCAAAACACCAAAAGUAACAACGGGGUUGUGUUGAGAUCAUUGCUCUUCGAUCAUUUCUCUCAACUUAUCAUAUUAAAUUGUUUGGUUUGGGAUUGUAUUAUAACAUUACGGGCUCGUCUGAUAUAAAUAAUUGGAUUGAAAUGGAUAAGGAUUGUAUUAUAACA